RNAcentral lists this small RNA (28 nucleotides) under Bombyx mori (domestic silkworm). Its description in RNAcentral is "ovarian small RNA-15394". The record is from RNAcentral. Lineage: Eukaryota; Metazoa; Arthropoda; Insecta; Lepidoptera; Bombycidae.
GACAUUCUAGCAGCUUGGCCCCGUUGGC